UACGUAGGGAGCGAGCGUUGUCCGGAUUUACUGGGUGUAAAGGGCGUGUAGGCGGAGCUGCAAGUCAGAAGUGAAAUCUCCGGGCUCAACCCGGAAACUGCUUUUGAAACUGUAGCCCUUGAGUAUCGGAGAGGCAGGCGGAAUUCCUAGUGUAGCGGUGAAAUGCGUAGAUAUUAGGAGGAACACCAGUGGCGAAGGCGGCCUGCUGGACGACAACUGACGCUGAGGCGCGAAAGCGUGGGGAGCAAACAGG
This 253-nucleotide ribosomal RNA is filed under the name uncultured bacterium. Its description in RNAcentral is "partial 16S ribosomal RNA". It matches the Rfam family "Bacterial small subunit ribosomal RNA", at positions 524 to 776 of the family's 1533-position model. The record is from RNAcentral.